AGAAUCAGCCCUGAGCACUGUGACAAACCUCAGCUCUCCUGUUCAACACGUUGACAUUUACAUAUGACUGCAGAAGGUGCAUCUGCCUCCACUCUCCUUCCAACAUAUCCCCAAAAUCUACACGAAGCAUUUGAAAGAACUUCACUCUUCUGUGUCUUACACUGGAAUAUAAUUUGUCAGUAGAACGUGACACAAAGGCUACCUUUUUUUUUUUUGGUUUUUUGGUGUGUGUGCAUGUUAUUUGGAGAGAAAUACAAAGACUU
RNAcentral lists this long non-coding RNA (263 nucleotides) under Zonotrichia albicollis (white-throated sparrow). RNAcentral describes it as "lncRNA (ENSZALG00000006410.1)". The record is from RNAcentral. Lineage: Eukaryota; Metazoa; Chordata; Aves; Passeriformes; Passerellidae.